This 253-nucleotide ribosomal RNA is filed under the name uncultured bacterium. Its description in RNAcentral is "partial 16S ribosomal RNA". It matches the Rfam family "Bacterial small subunit ribosomal RNA", at positions 524 to 776 of the family's 1533-position model. The record is from RNAcentral.
CACGUAGGGUGCGAGCGUUGUCCGGAAUUAUUGGGCGUAAAGAGCGUGUAGGCGGCUUGUUAAGUCUUGCGUGAAAUCUCGGGGCUCAACCCCGAGCGGUCGUGAGAAACUGGCAGGCUAGAGUGCGGGAGAGGAGAGUGGAAUUCCUGAUGUAGCGGUGAAAUGCGCAGAUAUCAGGAAGAACACCCGUGGCGAAGGCGGCUCUCUGGAACGCAACUGACGCUGAGACGCGAAAGCGUGGGGAGCAAACAGG